RNAcentral lists this ribosomal RNA (444 nucleotides) under uncultured bacterium. Its description in RNAcentral is "bacterial SSU rRNA". It matches the Rfam family "Bacterial small subunit ribosomal RNA", at positions 29 to 466 of the family's 1533-position model. The record is from RNAcentral.
AGUGAACGCUGGCGGCAGGCCUAAUACAUGCAAGUCGAACGGCAGCACAGCAGAGCUUGCUCUGUGGGUGGCGAGUGGCGGACGGGUGAGGAAUACAUGGGAAUCUGCCCAGUCGUGGGGGAUAACGUAUGGAAACGUACGCUAAUACCGCAUGCGCCCUACGGGGGAAAGCCGGGGACCGCAAGGCCUGGCGCGAUUGGAUGAGCCCAUGUUCGAUUAGCUAGUUGGCGGGGUAAAGGCCCACCAAGGCGACGAUCGAUAGCUGGUCUGAGAGGAUGAUCAGCCACACUGGAACUGAGACACGGUCCAGACUCCUACGGGAGGCAGCAGUAGGGAAUAUUGGACAAUGGGGGCGAACCCUCGAUCCAGCCAUGCCGCGUGAGUGAAGAAGGCCCUCGGGUUGUAAAGCUCUUUUGUCCGGAAAGAAAAGCAUCUGGUUAAUAC